ACGUUGUUGCAUGUGAUGACAGGUGAUAGCGUUGGUGAGCAGCAGCUGGACUCGUGGUACGACGCCCGCUGUGAUGUCUGGUCACUGGGUAUCACUGCUAUCGAACUGGCGCAGGGUGACCCUCCUCUGUCAGACUUGCACCCUAUGCGGGCGCUGUUCCAAAUACCACGCAACCCACCACCAACGCUGGAACGGACUGACUGCCCUGACCUGGCAGACUUCGUGGCUGAGCUACUUGUCAAAGACCUGGAGCAACGGCCUUUCGCUAAGGAACUUCUCAGGCAUCCCCUCAUGAAGAAAGGAGCAGUGUGCGCUCAAAAGGUGCGGGCUGAACUUCAGGCUGAAAUCAAACGACAACGUGUGAGUGGACGUUGCCACAGACAGCCUGAAGUAACCACAAAACAUGGGAAACUGAAGACUGACCGGAAAGAAAUGCCUCGGAAGAUGUAUGUCGACGAUUUAGCAGUUCUUGAUAUUUUAACCGAGGACUCAAUAGUUGAACAGCUUCAACAGAGGUAUGAGAUGAACCAAAUCUACACUUACAUUGGUGAUAUUCUUGUGGCUGUGAACCCAUUUACUGACCUUGGCAUGUACACACCAAUGGAACAGAAGCGAUACUGUAGUCAGUCUCGUAGUGCAAACCCUCCACACAUUUUUGCGGUAGCUGACGCAGCGUAUCAGGCGCUGAUGCACCAAAGAAUCAGCCAAAGUAUAGUCAUCAGUGGGGAGAGUGGUGCAGGAAAGACCGAGAGUGGCAACUUGCUCCUCAAACAACUUGUCUUCCUAGGCAAGGCACCAAAUCGUGACCUGGAGGCUCGUAUUCUCCAAGUAAACCCAAUCAUGGAGGCAUUUGGCAACGCUCAGACAGGGAUCAACUCCAACUCAUCGAGGUUUGGGAAAUUCCUGGAAUUGAGUAUGACAAGAGGUGGUCGUGUGACAGGCGCUCGACUCUCUGUUUACCUCUUGGAGCAAUCUCGGGUUGCGCAGCAGAUGCAAAGUGAAAGAAACUUCCAUGUGUUUUACUACCUAUACGAUGGCCUCAACAAUGAUGGUAGGCUAGCAGAGUUCCACCUGGAUCCCUUACUACGAACACGGCACACCUUCCUCACUGCUGACAGUCAGGACGUCCUGAGUCGCCAGAACAAUGUACAAAAAUUCAGAGAGCUGAAGUCUGCAUUUGAGGUGGUCGGGUUCAGAGACGGUGAGGUCAACUCAAUUUACCGAGUCAUCUCAGGUAUCCUACACCUUGGGGAUAUUGAAUUCGGAGAAGUGAUCUCAGAUGACAACACUGACAACAAGAGUAGAGUCAUCGAUCUUGCACCUUUACACCGAGGUUCCAGCUUACUGGGGAUAGAAGCAAGUGACCUGCUGGAGUGCCUGACAGCAAACAGUGUCGUAACCCGAGGAGAAACCAUAACCAGGAAUAACUCUGUGGUGGAAGCCAUUGCCACGAGAGAUGCAAUGGCAAAGGCCCUCUACAGUCGGCUUUUUGACUGGCUUGUCAACUGUGUCAAUAGCCUGCUGUCUUUCAACUCAAGAGGGGAGCAACUAGUCAUAGGUUUGCUGGAUAUUUUUGGUUUUGAAAACUUUGCCCACAACUCGUUUGAACAACUGUGUAUCAACGUGGCUAACGAACAGAUCCAAUAUUACUUCAACCAGCACAUCUUCACUUGGGAGCAGCAGGAGUACAUGGCUGAGGGUAUACCAGUAGACCUGGUGGAGUUCACAGACAACCGGCCAGUGUUGGACAUGUUGCUCUCUCGCCCACUGGGACUGCUGGCAUUGCUGGACGAGGAGAGUCGCUUUCCUCGCUCUACUGACCGCUCUCUCAUUGAAAAAUUCCAUGCAAAUGUAAAGAGCAAACUGUACAUCAGGCCAAAGUCAAAUGCUCUUUGCUUUGCGAUACAACACUUUGCGGGUCGAGUGGUCUACCAGGCUGAGGGGUUCCUGGACAAGAACCGCCACUUCCUGGCACCAGAAGUGAUCCAGCUGCUGAGGACUUCAGUGGUAGACACAGUCCGCUACCUCUUCCAGUGCCCCAUCACCAAAACGGGGAAUCUAUUCUCAGCUAGCCCUGCUGACACCCCUGCCGGCACCAGGGAUGCAAACCGUUGUGCAAGUGUGAUGGCGCUACAAUCACAGUCUCGGGCCCAGCAGACAGCAGCUACGUAUUUCCGCUACUCGCUGAUGGAACUGCUGCAGAAGAUGGUAGCUGGGGCACCGCAGUUCGUCCGCUGUAUCAAACCUAAUGACCAGAAGUCCCCGAGGAUGUUUGACCCGGCCAAGGUUGUCCGCCAGCUCAGGUACACAGGAGUCCUUGAGACUAUAAGAAUCCGCCAGCACGGUUUCUCCCAUCGAAUACCAUUUGCGGAAUUCCUUAAAAGAUAUUGCUUUCUUGCAUUCGGGUUUGAUGAGAGAGUUAUGGCAACAAGAGACAACUGUCGUUUGUUACUGGUUAGGCUUAAAAUGGAUGGCUGGGCUCUCGGCAAGACCAAAGUGUUCCUUAAAUACUACCACAUUGAAUACCUCUCCAAAUUAUAUGAAGAUCAGGUGCGCAAGAUCGUUUUAGUACAGUGCUGUGUGAGGCGGUGGUUGGCCCGCACGAGGUACCAGAAGGUGAGGUGGCAACUGGCGUCGAGCGUUGUGACACUACAAAGGUAUGUCCGGGGCUGGAUUGCUCGCAAAGAAUUGGAGACACGAAAGAACAAGGAAGAAAACAGGAAGAACAACGCGAAAAACAAGGCCAUGCGGAAACAGAAGAGUGCAGAGAAGGACAGAGAAAUUACAACGCAACAGAUGGAAGACAACUCAGCAAGUCCUAUAUCAGAACUGGGCACCCCCUGGGGCAAUGUGCAGAUGAGAAGGAAGUUCUUCUCGGAACUUGAAGACAAAGAUGAGGCUGCCACAAUCAUUCAAAGCCAUUUCAGAGGUUAUACUGUAAGGAGACACUGGGCACCAGAAGUGGCCAGAAGAAUACACAAUGGCAUGCAGAAUGCAGUACCAGUUUCACCAGUAAAGACUAAGCCAACAGAUCGUCAAGCUCAGCUAAUUACUCUGUCCCAGGAUGUACACAUGAAAAAUCAAGAUGUCCAUAAAUACCUGAGAAACAACAAACAGGGCGUCCACUUAAACAAUAUUGAGGAGACCAAACGAGUUUAUGGACAGAAAUCUGUUGUGCAUGAAGUAGCAAAGAAGCAUGGUGCCAGUUCCUAUUACAAACAAGUACAAGAAGAGAUGAAUAGUGGGUUACAGUCCGUCACCGGAUUCAUCAGAUGAGAUUUCGGCCUGGGACUUGCCGAUCAUCCAGCUGGAAAACCAACUUCGUCCCCUCAGGCCACGGAUGGUGACUCUCAGUAUAGAAGCAGAACGCAGAGAACUGCUCAAUGCAGGGAGGAACAACCUCCACUGGCAGAGUCCACCCGUGACACCGAG
This 3432-nucleotide unclassified non-coding RNA is filed under the name Homalodisca vitripennis (glassy-winged sharpshooter). Its description in RNAcentral is "myosin-IIIb-like, transcript variant X4". The record is from RNAcentral. Lineage: Eukaryota; Metazoa; Arthropoda; Insecta; Hemiptera; Cicadellidae.